AGGUGCGAUCACACCAACACUAAUAUAUCGGAUCCCAUCGGAAGUCUGCAGUUAAGAAUUCUUGGGCGAGAGUAGUACUUGGAUGGGUGACCUCCUGGGAAGUCCUCCUGUUGCACCUC
Lupinus angustifolius (narrow-leaved blue lupine) is the source of this 119-nucleotide non-coding RNA. The record is from Rfam. NCBI's taxonomy places the organism in Eukaryota, Viridiplantae, Streptophyta, Magnoliopsida, Fabales, Fabaceae.